Molecule: ribosomal RNA, 833 nt
Filed under: uncultured Cenococcum
Lineage: Eukaryota; Fungi; Ascomycota; Dothideomycetes; Gloniales; Gloniaceae
Description: eukaryotic LSU rRNA
Rfam family: Eukaryotic large subunit ribosomal RNA (bases 398-833)
Source: RNAcentral
GACUCACGUUGCCUCGGCGGGUUCGCCCGCCAGAGGAUACAUCAAAACUCCUGUUUCAACGGUGUUGUCUGAGCUACAAGCAACGAAUCAAAACUUUCAACAACGGAUCUCUUGGUUCUGGCAUCGAUGAAGAACGCAGCGAAAUGCGAUAAGUAGUGUGAAUUGCAGAAUUCAGUGAAUCAUCGAAUCUUUGAACGCACAUUGCGCCCCUUGGUAUCCCGAGGGGCAUGCCUGUUCGAGCGUCAUUUCACCACUCAAGCCUGGCUUGGUGUUGGGUGACGUCCCCUUUGAGGACGCGCCUCGAAACGCUCGGCGGCGUGGCACCGGCUUUAAGCGUAGCAGAAUCUUUCGCUUCGAAAGUCGGGGCCCCGUCUGCCGGAAGACCUACUCGCAAGGUUGACCUCGGAUCAGGCAGGGAUACCCGCUGAACUUAAGCAUAUCAAUAAGCGGAGGAAAAGAAACCAACAGGGAUUGCCUCAGUAACGGCGAGUGAAGCGGCAACAGCUCAAAUUUGAAAUCUGGCUCUUUUAGGGCCCGAGUUGUAAUUUGUAGAGGAUGCUUCGGCGUCGGCUCCGGUCUAAGUUCCUUGGAACAGGACGUCAUGGAGGGUGAGAAUCCCGUAUGUGAUCGGUUGCCUUUGCCAUGUGAAGCUCCUUCGACGAGUCGAGUUGUUUGGGAAUGCAGCUCUAAAUGGGANGUAAAUUUCUUCUAAAGCUAAAUACUGGCCAGAGACCGAUAGCGCACAAGUAGAGUGAUCGAAAGAUGAAAAGCACUUUGGAAAGAGAGUCAAAAAGUACGUGAAAUUGUUGAAAGGGAAGCGCUNGCAACCAGAC